AUUGUGCACCAUUGAUGCAGGGAGGACCGUGUUAUGACCCAGAUAACGUGGCUGCACAUGCUACAUAUGCUUUUGAUGCUUACUAUCACAUGAUGGGGAAGGCUCCCGGGACUUGUGACUUCACCGGGGUGGCUACAAUCACCACAACUAAUCCAAGUCAUGGUACUUGUCUAUUUUCAAGUAAUGGCAAAAACGCUACUUUCCUAAAUGGCACAGCUCCAGCUAUGGACUCCACGAGCUCAUCAGCCUAUCCUGCCCGGUACUUAAACAACAACGCCUUUUCAACAACACUGAUGAUGAUUCUAGGAACUCUAGGAUUUAGCAUGGUUCUUUUGUAGUAUGGCAAUCUUCUUCAGCAUUAUUUACCUGCGAUGGAUGGUGCCCAUUGCACAUUUUUCUUUUCCAAGAACGAGACUAAUUAGUUAUCGUGGAUUCCCUUUACAUUUUCAGAAAAAGGAAGUGAGGUUACUGAUCUUCAGA
This 480-nucleotide unclassified non-coding RNA is filed under the name Hevea brasiliensis (rubber tree). The record is from RNAcentral. Lineage: Eukaryota; Viridiplantae; Streptophyta; Magnoliopsida; Malpighiales; Euphorbiaceae.